GUGUCAGCAGCCGCGGUAAGACGAACCGUCCGAACGUUAUUCGGAAUCACUGGGCUUAAAGAGUGCGUAGGCGGCUUAUCAGGCGGGGUGUGAAAUCCCUCGGCCCAACCGAGGAAUUGCGCUCCGAACCGAUAGGCUUGAGGAGGAUAGAGGUAAGCGGAACAGAUGGUGGAGCGGUGAAAUGCGUUGAUAUCAUCUGGAACACCUGUGGCGAAAGCGGCUUACUGGGUCCUUUCUGACGCUGAGGCACGAAAGCCAGGGUAGCGAACGGGAUUAGAAACCCUUGUAGUCC
Molecule: ribosomal RNA, 292 nt
Filed under: uncultured bacterium
Lineage: Bacteria
Description: partial 16S ribosomal RNA
Rfam family: Bacterial small subunit ribosomal RNA
Source: RNAcentral